GGGGUUGUGGCUCAGUGGUAGAGCUUAUAUGUGUAAGGCACUGGGUUCGAUCCUCAGCACCACG
RNAcentral lists this transfer RNA (64 nucleotides) under Marmota monax (woodchuck). RNAcentral describes it as "tRNA.Undet". Lineage: Eukaryota; Metazoa; Chordata; Mammalia; Rodentia; Sciuridae. The record is from RNAcentral.